AUAGUUUGAUCCUGGCUCAGAUUGAACGCUGGCGGCAUGCCUAACACAUGCAAGUCGAACGGAAACGAUGGGAGCUUGCUCCCAGGCGUCGAGUGGCGGACGGGUGAGUAAUACUUAGGAAUCUGCCCAUUAGUGGGGGACAACUCGAGGAAACUCGAGCUAAUACCGCAUACGCCCUACGGGGGAAAGCGGGGGAUCUUCGGACCUCGCGCUAAUGGAUGAGCCUAAGUCGGAUUAGCUAGUUGGUGAGGUAAAAGCUCACCAAGGCGACGAUCCGUAGCUGGUCUGAGAGGACGAUCAGCCACACUGGGACUGAGACACGGCCCAGACUCCUACGGGAGGCAGCAGUGGGGAAUAUUGGACAAUGGGCGCAAGCCUGAUCCAGCAAUGCCGCGUGUGUGAAGAAGGCCUGCGGGUUGUAAAGCACUUUCAGUAGAGAAGAAAAGCUUAGGGUUAAUAACCUUGAGUCUUGACGUAACCUACAGAAGAAGCUCCGGCUAACUCCGUGCCAGCAGCCGCGGUAAUACGGAGGGAGCGAGCGUUAAUCGGAAUUACUGGGCGUAAAGCGCGCGUAGGCGGCUUUGUAAGUCGGAUGUGAAAGCCCUGGGCUCAACCUGGGAAUGGCAUUCGAUACUGCAGAGCUAGAGUAUGGUAGAGGGAAGUGGAAUUUCCGGUGUAGCGGUGAAAUGCGUAAAUAUC
This 699-nucleotide ribosomal RNA is filed under the name uncultured bacterium. RNAcentral describes it as "bacterial SSU rRNA". It matches the Rfam family "Bacterial small subunit ribosomal RNA", at positions 8 to 698 of the family's 1533-position model. The record is from RNAcentral.